AGCGAAAUGCGAUACCUAGUGUGAAUUGCAGAAUUCCGUGAAUCAUCGAGUUUUUGAACGCAAGUUGCGCCUGAGGCUCGUACCGAGGGCAUGUCUGUCUGAGCGUCCA
This 109-nucleotide ribosomal RNA is filed under the name Frullania fertilis. Its description in RNAcentral is "partial 5.8S ribosomal RNA". It matches the Rfam family "5.8S ribosomal RNA", at positions 47 to 154 of the family's 154-position model. From Rfam's summary of the family: 5.8S ribosomal RNA (5.8S rRNA) is a component of the large subunit of the eukaryotic ribosome. It is transcribed by RNA polymerase I as part of the 45S precursor that also contains 18S and 28S rRNA. Functionally, it is thought that 5.8S rRNA may be involved in ribosome translocation. The record is from RNAcentral. Lineage: Eukaryota; Viridiplantae; Streptophyta; Jungermanniopsida; Porellales; Frullaniaceae.